CCAGAGGGUCGGGCGAUCGCCGCCGGUGGGGUAUCCUGCCGGGGGAGGAAAGUCCGGGCUCCACGGAAAUCACGGUGCCGGAUAACGUCCGGCGGACCGGGCCUCGGCCAGGUUCAGGGAAAGUGCCACAGAGAGCAGACCGCCACAGGCUUCGGCCCGGCGAAAGGUGAAAGGGUGCGGUAAGAGCGCACCGCGCGGCUGGUAACAGGCGCGGCACGGCAAACCCCACCGGGAGCAAGGUCGAAUAGGGACGGUAUGAGGAAACUCAGGGCUGAUUCCGGCCCAGCCGUCCGGGUUGACUGCUUGAGCGUUCGGGUAACCGUCCGCCUAGAGGAAUGAUCGCACAGUCCCCGCAAGGGGAUGGACAGAACCCGGCUUACAGACCCUCUGGCAUA
Molecule: non-coding RNA, 395 nt
Organism: Sphingopyxis sp.
Lineage: Bacteria; Pseudomonadati; Pseudomonadota; Alphaproteobacteria; Sphingomonadales; Sphingopyxidaceae
Source: Rfam